GAUGAACGCUGGCGGCGUGCCUAAUACAUGCAAGUAGAACGCUGAAGGAGGAGCUUGCUCUUCUGGAUGAGUUGCGAACGGGUGAGUAACGCGUAGGUAACCUGCCUGGUAGCGGGGGAUAACUAUUGGAAACGAUAGCUAAUACCGCAUGACAACAGUUAUUGCAUGAUAACUGUUUAAAAGGGGCAACUGCUCCACUACCAGAUGGACCUGCGUUGUAUUAGCUAGUUGGUGAGGUAACGGCUCACCAAGGCGACGAUACAUAGCCGACCUGAGAGGGGGAUCGGCCACACUGGGACUGAGACACGGCCCAGACUCCUACGGGAGGCAGCAGUAGGGAAUCUUCGGCAAUGGACGGAAGUCUGACCGAGCAACGCCGCGUGAGUGAAGAAGGUUUUCGGAUCGUAAAGCUCUGUUGUAAGAGAAGAACGGGUGUGAGAGUGGAAAGUUCACACUGUGACGGUAUCUUACCAGAAAGGGACGGCUAACUACGUG
This 495-nucleotide ribosomal RNA is filed under the name uncultured bacterium. RNAcentral's name for it is "partial 16S ribosomal RNA". It matches the Rfam family "Bacterial small subunit ribosomal RNA", at positions 28 to 507 of the family's 1533-position model. The record is from RNAcentral.